AAAAUAAACCUCUGGAGAGCCAGUUGCCCAACUCUUCCAGAAGAGAGACUAGACACGCAGCUGGGCAUGCGGCCAGAGCCCAAGAAAAGCCUGGUUUGCCAGGGGCAGAUUACAGUCAACGGGAGCGGCCAAUCCUAACCCAGAUCAAAGAUCCUGGGACAGCUGGAACAGGCAUGGCCUAAUGGAACUCCCAAGUGGACAGGGCCAGGCAUGGACGGACAGAGCUUCUGAAACAGUCCUCAGACCCCGUGCAUCUGGAUCUUUCUGUAGGAACCACCCAUCAGCAGUGCCAGACAGAACCAAGCACAUGCACUGAUCCACCGCACGAUGGGAGCUGGUGUGGGUGAGCUUGUUUGCUUUAGCCAUGCCCACAGACAGGAACAGAAGAGCACAGUGGAGGCCACCAGCCCUCUCGCCUGCUAUUUCAAAAGGGGUUGCAGCAGGGCUGGAAAGCGGUUCCCACUGUGGUUGCCCCCUUCCUCUCUGUGGCACACACAGACCUGAAAAUAACCAGAGAGGGACUGUGAGCUGCCAGCCUAAAACAGGAAGGCUGCAGAAAGUCCUAGGCUCAGAUAGGAGAGUUUAAAAGAAUGUUGAAACCAAGAACGGGCAUCACAGAUCCCACCUGUCUCUGCACCAAAGCAGACCUCCCCCUCUCUAAUCUACUGGUGGGGAGCCUGUGUGCUCUGUAGUCAUGCAGAUCCCAGCUUUACCACUUGCUGGCUGUGUGACUUAAGCAAGCUAUUUAACUUCUCUGAACCCCUAUUUCCUGAUUUGUAAGAUAAGCGCAGCAAUAUACAAAGUUUUAGUGUUGUGGUUCACAUGAAAAAAUUUAAUCCUGGCCAGGCCGGACGUGGUGCCUCACACCUGUAAUUCCAGCACUUUGGGAGGCCAAGGUGGGCAGAUCAUGAGGUCAGGAGUUCGAGACCAGCCUGACCAACAUGGUAAAACCACAUCUCUACUAAAAAUACAAAAAUUAGCCGGGCAUGGUGGUGCGUACCGGUAGUCCCAGCUACUCAGGAGGCUGAGGCAGGAGAAUCACUUGAACCCAGGAGGCGGAGGUUGCAGUGAACCGAGAUGGCACCACUGCACUCCAGCCUGGGCAAGAAGAACGAAACUCCCUCUCAAAAAAAAGAAAAGAAAAAGAAAAAAGAAAGAGAAGAAAGCAUACCUGCACAAUUCAGCCUGACCUGCCCUCACCCAGACAACAGAAGGAACAAUGAAGACUUUAGUUGUCUGAGCCAGAACACUUCUCAGAUAACUGUGCUGCUUACAAAUUGCUUUACAUACACAAUCUCCUCUGAAAUUCUCAACCCUGAAUGCUGGGAGACAUUGCCCCCAAUUUUCAGAUGAGUAGACUGAGGCUAACAGAGGUAAAGUGGCUUGUUCAAAACUGCACUACUAGUAACUGGCAGCUCCAGGGUGAGGUCUGGCUCCUGGCCCAGGACUCUCACUGAGCAAGGGCUCGGUCGGCCCACCCAGGACCAAAGACACUGCAGACCAUGGCAGCAGGCACUUGGUGUUCUGUAGUCUGUGAGGGGAGAGCAGAGAGCAGAACCUGGUGUGUGGGACACCCUCUCCUUCACCGGUGUUCCUGCAGGGACCCUCCGUCUCCUGUAAAGGGGGAAGCCCUAGGCUGACUCCCAGCAAGCAAGUCCUCUCUCACCUUUCACCUGAAGCGAUGAAGCAUCUUAAAGUUUGCCUAAAGCAGAAGUCUACAGGAGACCCACAGAAUAAAUAUGUAAGGUUAUUUUGA
RNAcentral lists this long non-coding RNA (1756 nucleotides) under Homo sapiens (human). Its description in RNAcentral is "HSALNT0015534". The record is from RNAcentral. Lineage: Eukaryota; Metazoa; Chordata; Mammalia; Primates; Hominidae.